AUAAGUCCGGUGACGGUUUUAUUUCACACUUUAAUGACAUAGGUGGUGUACAAUUAAUAGAAGAGCAGUUCAUCACAGCCUCGUUCUGAAUAAAUGUUAGCUUCCUGCUCUUCUAUUCAUUAUGAGGAAAUACAUUAAAAAGGCGACGAAAUUAUCUUUAACAAGCAAUAUGUAAAAGUUAUAGCAAUAUAAGCAUAUAAUGGCAAGUUGGGAUGAGAAACUUCUAACAGCUGCAGAGAAGGGGAAUAUAAAAGAAGUAGAAUCAUGUGUAAAGAACGGAGCUAGUUUGGAAUGUAGAGAUUUU
Long non-coding RNA from Mytilus trossulus (common blue mussel), 304 nucleotides. RefSeq lists it as uncharacterized. The record is from RefSeq and is a predicted model, not a curated record. The transcript has 3 exons. Lineage: Eukaryota; Metazoa; Mollusca; Bivalvia; Mytilida; Mytilidae.